This 76-nucleotide transfer RNA is filed under the name Scleropages formosus (Asian bonytongue). RNAcentral's name for it is "tRNA-Ser". The record is from RNAcentral. Lineage: Eukaryota; Metazoa; Chordata; Actinopteri; Osteoglossiformes; Osteoglossidae.
GCAGCGGGUGGCUCGGUGGUUAGUGCCUCUGCCUUGAACGCAAAGGACCGAGGUUUGGAUCCCACCUCCUGCUGCA